UACGUAGGGUGCGAGCGUUGUCCGGAAUUACUGGGCGUAAAGAGCUCGUAGGUGGUUUGUCGCGUUGUUCGUGAAAACUCACAGCUCAACUGUGGGCGUGCGGGCGAUACGGGCAGACUGGAGUACUGCAGGGGAGACUGGAAUUCCUGGUGUAGCGGUGGAAUGCGCAGAUAUCAGGAGGAACACCGGUGGCGAAGGCGGGUCUCUGGGCAGUAACUGACGCUGAGGAGCGAAAGCGUGGGGAGCGAACAGGA
RNAcentral lists this ribosomal RNA (254 nucleotides) under uncultured bacterium. Its description in RNAcentral is "partial 16S ribosomal RNA". It matches the Rfam family "Bacterial small subunit ribosomal RNA", at positions 524 to 777 of the family's 1533-position model. The record is from RNAcentral.